UAAGACCUGCGCUUUUGGAGCGGCCGAUGUCUGAUUAGCUUGUUGGUGAGGUAAAGGCUUACCAAGGCUUCGAUCAGUAGCUGGUCUGAGAGGACGGCCAGCCACACUGGGACUGAGACACGGCCCAGACUCCUACGGGAGGCAGCAGUGGGGAAUUUUGGACGAUGGGGGCAACCCUGAUCCAGCCAUGCCGCGUGAGUGAAGAAGGCCUUCGGGUUGUAAAGCUCUUUCAGCCGGAACGAAACGGUUACGGUUAAUACCCGUGAUUACUGACGGUACCGGAAGAAGAAGCACCGGCUAACUACGUGCCAGCAGCCGCGGUAAUACGUAGGGUGCGAGCGUUAAUCGGAAUUACUGGGCGUAAAGCGUGCGCAGGUGGUUUUGUAAGUCAGAUGUGAAAGCCCCGGGCUCAACCUGGGAACU
This 423-nucleotide ribosomal RNA is filed under the name uncultured bacterium. RNAcentral describes it as "bacterial SSU rRNA". It matches the Rfam family "Bacterial small subunit ribosomal RNA", at positions 207 to 622 of the family's 1533-position model. The record is from RNAcentral.